AGAGCGUAAGGUGAAUGCCUUGGCAUCAGGAGCCGAAGAAGGACGCGACAAGCUGCGAUAAGCUGCGGGGAGCUGCAAAUAAGCAUUGAUCCGCAGAUUUCCGAAUGUGGAAACACACACGGUGAAGAACCGUGUAGCGUAAACUGAAUACAUAGGUUUACGCGGGGAACCCCGGGAACUGAAACAUCUAAGUACCGGGAGGAAGAGAAAUCAACCGAGAUUCCGCGAGUAGUGGCGAGCGAAAGCGGAGGAGGCUAAACCGACAGUAGAAAUACGGUCGGGGUUCGGACUGUUGUAAGCGAGCGGAAGUUAGUCGAAUGGCAUGGGAAGGCCAGCCGGAGGGAGUGAAAGCCUCGUAGGCGAAAACGGAAGCGAGUGAACAGAAUCCAGAGUAUCAGCGGACACGAGAAAUCCGGUGAGAACGUGGGGGGACCACCCUCUAAGCCUAAAUACUACCUGAUGACCGAUAGUGGAGCAGUACUGUGAAGGAAAGGUGAAAAGAACCCCGGGAGGGGAGUGAAAGAGAACCUGAAACCUUAUGCUUACAAGCACACAGAGCCCCGUAUGCGGGUGAUGUGGUACUUUUUGUAGAACGGUCCGGCGAGUUAUGGUAUGCAGCGAGGUUAAGUGAUUCAGUCACGGAGCCGCAGGGAAACCGAGUGUGAACAGCACGUAGAGUUGCAUGUCAUAGACCCGAAACCGGGUGACCUAUCCAUGAGCAGGUUGAAGUCAGGGUAAAGCCUGAUGGAGGACCGAACCGACCCCCGUUGAAAAGUUGGCGGAUGACUUGUGGAUAGCGGAGAAAUUCCAAUCGAACCCGGAUAUAGCUGGUUCUCCCCGAAAUAGCUUUAGGGCUAGCCUCGAAUAUAUUUACCGGAGGUAAAGCACUGAAUGGUCGAGGGGUCGAGAGACUACCAACACCUAUCAAACUAAGAAUACCGGAUAAAUGAGUUCGGGAGUCAGACUACGUGAGAUAAGUCUCGUGGUCAAAAGGGAAACAGCCCAGACCCACAGCUAAGGUCCCCAAUGUAUGCUAAGUGGAAAACGAUGUGACAAUGCUAAGACAACUAGGAUGUUGGCUUAGAAGCAGCCACUCAUUCAAAGAGUGCGUAAUAGCUCACUAGUCGAGUGCCGUCGCGCCGAAGAUUUAACGGGGCUGAAGCAUACAACCGAAGCUUAGGCAGUAGAAAUACUGGGUAGGGGAGCGUUCUCAUCGGGGUGAAGCAUCACCGGAAGGAGGUGUGGACUGAUGAGAAGUGAGAAUGCCGGAAUGAGUAGCGAGAAUUGCGUGAGAAUCGUAAUGGCCGAAAAUCUAAGGUUUCUUGGGGAAGGUUCGUCCGCCCAAGGUAAGCCGGGAGCUAAGGCGAGGCCGCAAGGCGUAGUCGAUGCACAUACGGUAGAAAUUCCGUAGCCACCGAACUUUAAACCAGAAGGACACUUGCAGAUAGCGGAACCCAGCCGUUGGUUGAGCUGGGCGAAAGGGACUGAAAUAUAGUAGGGAAGUCCGCGAUGCUGUGAGGCGAGAAAAGCUCUGGUGUAUACUAAGGUGCCCGUACCGCAAACCGACACAGGUAGAUGAGGAGAGAAUCCUAAGGCCAACGGGAGAAGGGUUGUUAAGGAACUCGGCAUAUUGACCCCGUAACUUCGGAAGAAGGGGUGCCUCCGUAAGGAGGCCGCAGUGAAAAGGCCCAGGCAACUGUUUAUCAAAAACACAGGUUUCUGCAAAAGCGAAAGCUGAAGUAUAGGAGCUGACGCCUGCCCGGUGCUGGAAGGUCAAGGGGAUCGCUUAGCGCAAGCGAAGGCGAGAACUUAAGCCCCAGUAAACGGCGGCCGUAACUAUAACGGUCCUAAGGUAGCGAAAUUCCUUGUCAGGUAAGUUCUGACCCGCACGAAUGGCGUAAUGAUCUGGGCACUGUCUCAACAGCCCGCCCGGCGAAAUUGUAGUACCGGUGAAGAUGCCGGUUUCCUGCGACUAGACGGAAAGACCCCAUGGAGCUUUACUGUAGUCUGAUACUGAAAUUUGGUUCAUUAUGCACAGGAUAGGUGGGAGACAGAGAAACCCGGGCUUUGGCUUGGGCGGAGUCGCCGUUGGGAUACCACUCUUGAUGAACCAAGUUUCUAACCUGCUCCCGUGAUCCGGGAGGGGGACAAUGUCAGAUGGGCAGUUUGACUGGGGCGGUCGCCUCCAAAAGAGUAACGGAGGCGUUCAAAGGUUGGCUCAGCGCGGACGGAAAUCGCGCAAUGAGUAUAAACGUAUAAGCCAGCCUAACUGUGAGACCUACAAGUCGAGCAGUAACGAAAGUUGGAGUUAGUGAUCAGGUGGUAGUGAGUGGAAAUGCCAUCGCUUAACGGAUAAAAGCUACCCUGGGGAUAACAGGCUGAUCUCCCCCAAGAGUUCACAUCGACGGGGAGGUUUGGCACCUCGAUGUCGGCUCAUCACAUCCUGGAGCUGGAGAAGGUUCCAAGGGUUCGGCUGUCCGCCGAUUAAAGUGGUACGCGAGCUGGGUUCAGAACGUCGUGAGACAGUUCGGUCCCUAUCUGUCGUGGGCGUUGGAUAUUUGAGAAGGGCUGACCUUAGUACGAGAGGACCGGGUCGGACGCACCUCCUGUGCACCAGUUGUCCUGCCAAGGGCAUAGCUGGGUAGCGGCGUGCGGUUUUGAUAAACGCUGAAGGCAUCUAAGCGUGAAGCAUGCUUCAAGAUGAGAUAUCCCAUCAUUUCAAAUGAGUAAGGUCACUUGCAGACUACAAGUUGAUAGGUCGGGUGUGUAAGCACGGUAACGUGUUCAGCUAACCGAUACUAAUUGACCGAGGGCUUGAACC
This 2821-nucleotide ribosomal RNA is filed under the name human gut metagenome. RNAcentral's name for it is "bacterial LSU rRNA". It matches the Rfam family "Bacterial large subunit ribosomal RNA". The record is from RNAcentral.